Molecule: unclassified non-coding RNA, 472 nt
Filed under: Hevea brasiliensis (rubber tree)
Lineage: Eukaryota; Viridiplantae; Streptophyta; Magnoliopsida; Malpighiales; Euphorbiaceae
Source: RNAcentral
GGAACCUAUAGUCUCUGAGCAGCAUGAUCUUCCCUCAUUGGAUGCUGUUGAAAGUUCGGUUACUGAUGCUCUGAGUGAAGUGGAUGAAACACAGACCUCUGUUGGACAUCAAUAUGCUUCUACAGAGAGGUCCAUCUCACAGUGUGAAGAAGAAUUGGCAUACUCAGACAAAUCCAUUGAUGAACAUCCAUCAGAUGAUAAGGAAGUAAAGGAGACACCAGCUAUCCUGGUUGAGUCAAUUGAGGAAGCAAGCACCACUGAGACCUUAAAUGUUUCAGAAAUCCAUGACCUUGAUGAUGGAAUUCCUAUUAUCAGCUCCCCACGUACUCCCAACUCUAUUUCCAUCUGCAUGAGGUUGUUGAGGCCCCAAGAGGUGCUAGUCUAUCAGGUCUUAAGAACAUGAUCCUCGAGGAAAAUGAUAACCAGAUCAAAGUAUUGGAGAACUAUGUAUUGCCACCAGAAGCAGCUGAUU